GCCACGCUUGGCGUGGGUGUUUCAAUCGGGGCUUUUUCUUGCAUUGCCGCCGGUGCAGUCAUCGGCGACGGCGUGCAAAUUGCCGAGCAUUGCG
This 94-nucleotide transfer RNA is filed under the name Polaromonas sp. RNAcentral's name for it is "tRNA-Lys". The record is from RNAcentral. Lineage: Bacteria; Pseudomonadati; Pseudomonadota; Betaproteobacteria; Burkholderiales; Comamonadaceae.